CAGAAUGUAGCUUAAAUGGCAGAGCGGCGGUGGCCACCAUAAGGCGCAGGUUCGAACCCUGCCAUUCCGA
RNAcentral lists this transfer RNA (70 nucleotides) under [Clostridium] symbiosum. RNAcentral describes it as "tRNA-OTHER". It matches the Rfam family "tRNA". Rfam says of the family: Transfer RNA (tRNA) molecules are approximately 80 nucleotides in length. The record is from RNAcentral. Lineage: Bacteria; Bacillati; Bacillota; Clostridia; Lachnospirales; Lachnospiraceae.